UUACCGCAGUAUAAACUUAAUACAACUCCUUUACGGGGAGAAAAUUGAAAACCUCACAGUAAAC
This 64-nucleotide transfer RNA is filed under the name Spathoderma clenchi. RNAcentral describes it as "tRNA-Val". Lineage: Eukaryota; Metazoa; Mollusca; Caudofoveata; Chaetodermatida; Prochaetodermatidae. The record is from RNAcentral.